Molecule: ribosomal RNA, 484 nt
Filed under: uncultured bacterium
Lineage: Bacteria
Description: partial 16S ribosomal RNA
Rfam family: Bacterial small subunit ribosomal RNA
Source: RNAcentral
AUUGAACGCUGGCGGCAGGCCUAACACAUGCAAGUCGAGCGGAUGAAGGGAGCUUGCUCUUGGAUUCAGCGGCGGACGGGUGAGUAAUGCCUAGGAACCUGCCUGGUAGUGGGGGAUAACGUCCGGAAACGGGCGCUAAUACCGCAUACGUCCUGAGGGAGAAAGUGGGGGAUCUUCGGACCUCACGCUAUCAGAUGAGCCUAGGUCGGAUUAGCUAGUUGGUGGGGUAAAGGCCUACCAAGGCGACGAUCCGUAACUGGUUUGAGAGGAUGAUCAGUCACACUGGAACUGAGACACGGUCCAGACUCCUACGGGAGGCAGCAGUGGGGAAUAUUGGACAAUGGGCGAAAGCCUGAUCCAGCCAUGCCGCGUGUGUGAAGAAGGUCUUCGGAUUGUAAAGCACUUUAAGUUGGGAGGAAGGGCAGUAAGUUAAUACCUUGCUGUUUUGACGUUACCAACAGAAUAAGCACCGGCUAACUUCGUG